UGAGCGACCUACCUAAUUGUGGGGGAUAGCCGGACCCAACGGCCGGGUAAUACCGCAUACGAUCGGAGAGGGGCAUCCCUUUCUGAGGAAAGCCUUCGGGCGCAAUUUGAGGGACUCGCGGCCUAUCAGCUAGUUGGUGUGGGUAAUGGCCCACCAAGGCGACGACGGGUAGCCGGCCUGAGAGGGUGACCGGCCACACUGGGACUGAGACACGGCCCAGACUCCUACGGGAGGCAG
This 237-nucleotide ribosomal RNA is filed under the name uncultured bacterium. RNAcentral describes it as "partial 16S ribosomal RNA". It matches the Rfam family "Bacterial small subunit ribosomal RNA", at positions 118 to 351 of the family's 1533-position model. The record is from RNAcentral.